Molecule: non-coding RNA, 113 nt
Organism: Colletotrichum sp. SAR 10_75
Lineage: Eukaryota; Fungi; Ascomycota; Sordariomycetes; Glomerellales; Glomerellaceae
Source: the annotation of a GenBank genome assembly
GGCAACUUGGCCGAGCGGUCUAAGGCGCCAGACUCAAGCGAUUAGCUUGAUCCUCCCAGAGGAUUAGCAUUCUGGUCUCGAAAGAGGCGUGAGUUCGAAUCUCACAGUUGUCA